This 672-nucleotide ribosomal RNA is filed under the name bacterium 17-L049659-122-016-A03. RNAcentral describes it as "bacterial SSU rRNA". It matches the Rfam family "Bacterial small subunit ribosomal RNA", at positions 60 to 743 of the family's 1533-position model. The record is from RNAcentral.
AGUCGAACGAUGACGGAGGAGCUUGCUCCUCCUGAUUAGUGGCGAACGGGUGAGUAAUACGUGAGCAAUGUGCCCUUGACUCUGGGAUAAGCGCUGGAAACGGCGUCUAAUACCGGAUACGACGAUCGGAGGCAUCUCCUGGUCGUGGAAAGAACUUCGGUCAAGGAUCAGCUCACGGCCUAUCAGUUAGUUGGUGAGGUAAUGGCUCACCAAGACGACGACGGGUAGCCGGCCUGAGAGGGUGACCGGCCACACUGGGACUGAGACACGGCCCAGACUCCUACGGGAGGCAGCAGUGGGGAAUAUUGCACAAUGGGCGCAAGCCUGAUGCAGCAACGCCGCGUGAGGGACGAAGGCCUUCGGGUUGUAAACCUCUUUUAGCAGGGAAGAAGCGAAAGUGACGGUACCUGCAGAAAAAGCACCGGCUAACUACGUGCCAGCAGCCGCGGUAAUACGUAGGGUGCAAGCGUUGUCCGGAAUUAUUGGGCGUAAAGAGCUCGUAGGCGGUUUGUCACGUCUGCUGUGAAAACCCGAGGCUCAACCUCGGGCUUGCAGUGGGUACGGGCAGACUAGAGUGCGGUAGGGGAGAUUGGAAUUCCUGGUGUAGCGGUGGAAUGCGCAGAUAUCAGGAGGAACACCGAUGGCGAAAGCAGAUCUCUGGGCCGUAACUGA